UAUGUGAUCGUCUCUCGCAUAUCAAUAAGCGGAGGAAAAGAAACUAACAAGGAUUCCCCUAGUAACGGCGAGUGAAGCGGGAAGAGCUCAAAUUUGAAAUCUUAAAGGGUUUCCCUUUACGAAUUGUAGUUUAAAGAAGUGUUUUCUGUUGAGGUCUUGGUAAAAGUUCUUUGGAAUAGGACAUCAUAGAGGGUGAGAAUCCCGUAUUUGACCUUUACUUUCAACCUUUGUGAUACACUUACAAAGAGUCGGAUUGUUUGGGAAUGCAGUCCAAAAUGGGUGGUAAAUUUCAUCUAAAGCUAAAUAUUGGCGAGAGACCGAUAGCGAACAAGUACCGUGAGGGAAAGAUGAAAAGAACUUUGAAAAGAGAGUUAAACAGUACGUGAAAUUGUCAAAAGGGAAGCGUUUGACACCAGUGUUGUUUUUCUGAAAAUCAAUUAAAGAACUGUUUAUGCUAAGCUGUUUAGACUUUAUCAGCUAAUCUGUUUAGUUUUGAGCUUUUCUUUAAUGCACUUUUCAGUUAACAAGUCAACAUCAAUUUCUUUUGCUGUAAAAAAGCUUGAGGAAGGUGGCUUGAGAUUCGUCUUAAGUGUUUAUAGCCUCUUGCCUAUGCAGUCGGAGAGAUUGAGGUCUGCAGCGUAGAUCCUUCGGGGCUAAAUGCAUUUGUGCUAAGUUAUAGCAUUUUAUAGACAACUUGUUGACUAUGAUUUGUCUUGUAGCUUACUCGCUUAUGUUAUUUUUACCUACGCUUAGGAUGUUGAGUAGCGACAUACGCAC
Molecule: ribosomal RNA, 777 nt
Filed under: uncultured Neocallimastigales
Lineage: Eukaryota; Fungi; Neocallimastigomycota; Neocallimastigomycetes; Neocallimastigales
Description: partial large subunit ribosomal RNA
Rfam family: Eukaryotic large subunit ribosomal RNA
Source: RNAcentral